UACGAAGGGGGCUAGCGUUGCUCGGAAUCACUGGGCGUAAAGGGUGCGUAGGCGGGUCUUUAAGUCAGGGGUGAAAUCCUGGAGCUCAACUCCAGAACUGCCUUUGAUACUGAGGAUCUUGAGUUCGGGAGAGGUGAGUGGAACUGCGAGUGUAGAGGUGAAAUUCGUAGAUAUUGGGAGGAACACCAGUGGCGAAGGCGGCUAACUGGGUUGUAACUGACGCUGAGGCGCGAAAGCAUGGGGAUCAAACAGG
Molecule: ribosomal RNA, 253 nt
Filed under: uncultured bacterium
Lineage: Bacteria
Description: partial 16S ribosomal RNA
Rfam family: Bacterial small subunit ribosomal RNA
Source: RNAcentral